This 449-nucleotide ribosomal RNA is filed under the name uncultured bacterium. RNAcentral describes it as "bacterial SSU rRNA". It matches the Rfam family "Bacterial small subunit ribosomal RNA", at positions 355 to 796 of the family's 1533-position model. The record is from RNAcentral.
UGGGGAAUCUUGCGCAAUGCGCGAAAGCGUGACGCAGCAACGCCGCGUGGGUGAAGAAGGCCUUCGGGUUGUAAAGCCCUUUCAGUUGGGACGAAGCUUCGUCGGUGAAUAGCCGGCUGGAGUGACGGUACCUUCAGAAGAAGCCCCGGCUAACUACGUGCCAGCAGCCGCGGUAAUACGUAGGGGGCAAGCGUUGUCCGGAAUCAUUGGGCGUAAAGCGCGUGUAGGCGGCUCGAUAAGUCUGCUGUGAAAGUCCAGGGCUCAACCCUGGAAUGCCGGUGGAAACUGUCGAGCUAGAGUCCGGAAGAGGCGAGUGGAAUUCCUGGUGUAGCGGUGAAAUGCGCAGAUAUCAGGAGGAACACCAAUGGCGAAGGCAGCUCGCUGGGACGGUACUGACGCUGAGACGCGAAAGCGUGGGGAGCAAACAGGAUUAGAUACCCCCGUAGUCC